This 415-nucleotide ribosomal RNA is filed under the name uncultured bacterium. Its description in RNAcentral is "bacterial SSU rRNA". It matches the Rfam family "Bacterial small subunit ribosomal RNA", at positions 359 to 776 of the family's 1533-position model. The record is from RNAcentral.
GAAUAUUGCGCAAUGGGCGAAAGCCUGACGCAGCGACGCCGCGUGGGGGAUGAAGGUCUUCGGAUUGUAAACCCCUUUCGGGAGGGAAAAUGGAACGAGCAAUCGUUCGGAUGGUACCUCCCGAAGCAGCCACGGCUAACUUCGUCCCAGCCGCCGCGGUAAUACGAAGGUGGCAAGCGUUGUUCGGAUUUACUGGGCGUAAAGGGAGCGUAGGCGGUUUGGUAAGCCCCUCGGGAAAUCUUCGGGCUCAACCCGGAAAGGUCGGGGGGGACUGCCAGGCUAGAGGAUGGGAGAGGAGCGCGGAAUUCCCGGUGUAGCGGUGAAAUGCGUAGAGAUCGGGAGGAAGGCCGGAGGCGAAGGCGGCGCUCUGGAACAUAUCUGACGCUGAGGCUCGAAAGCGUGGGGAGCAAACAGG